CCUUAUGACUUUAUUUUCUAAUAUAUAUAUUUCUCAUUACAGAUAAGAACAAAGAUUAAAUUGUAAGAAGGGUUGCUUAUAAAAGCAUACAGUACAUCUGAAACUGCUGAGACUGAUCAGCUGCUAUAGAAGACAAAAUGAAAUCUGAGUGCAGAGACAUGCAAAGGAAUACUGCAAGACACUACUGACUAGGCUGUGCCCAGGUCUCCGGAACCUGCGACGACGCUCAGCUCCAUUGGCCCUUAGUCUGCGGCUUCGGAUCCACCAGCUCUGUCUCCAUCGGUCGGCCCCCAGAUGUCGGCAGCCACACCAUCUACAUCUUGGCUCCUCCCUCCCUCGACUCCGCCGUGUGUUGUCAGCUCUGGGAUGCUCUGGGUCUGUGCCAUGUGCCAAACACCAUCUAAGCCGCCAGGACAUCAUCGUCAUCCUCUCCAUCCUCUCAUCACCAUCCCUUCACCACAUCCUGCCAUCAUCCCCGCACCUUUGCCUCUCACCAUCCCUACACCAUCUCCUUGUCCACCUCCAAAACCCCUCCAUCCCUCCCUAUUCUGUUGCUUGAACUUUAUCAUCUUCA
This is a long non-coding RNA of Onychostoma macrolepis, 574 nucleotides long. RefSeq lists it as uncharacterized. The record is from RefSeq and is a predicted model, not a curated record. The transcript is spliced from 3 exons. Lineage: Eukaryota; Metazoa; Chordata; Actinopteri; Cypriniformes; Cyprinidae.